Molecule: signal recognition particle RNA, 98 nt
Filed under: Ruminococcus sp.
Lineage: Bacteria; Bacillati; Bacillota; Clostridia; Eubacteriales; Oscillospiraceae
Also listed under: 4 other names
Description: signal recognition particle sRNA small type
Rfam family: Bacterial small signal recognition particle RNA
About the family: The signal recognition particle (SRP) is a universally conserved ribonucleoprotein involved in the co-translational targeting of proteins to membranes.
Source: RNAcentral
GGAUAGGUGCUGUACGAUGAAGCACCGUGAACCAUGUCAGGCGGGGAACCGAGCAGCAUUAAGCGGUUGUAACAUGCGAUACAGUUAAUCUGUUCGUC